RNAcentral lists this ribosomal RNA (253 nucleotides) under uncultured bacterium. Its description in RNAcentral is "partial 16S ribosomal RNA". It matches the Rfam family "Bacterial small subunit ribosomal RNA", at positions 524 to 776 of the family's 1533-position model. The record is from RNAcentral.
UACGGAGGGUGCAAGCGUUAUCCGGAUUCACUGGGCUUAAAGGGUGCGUAGGCGGGCCGGUAAGUCCGUGGUGAAAUCUCUGAGCUUAACUCAGAAACUGCCAUGGAUACUAUUUGUCUUGAAUAUUGUGGAGGUGAGCGGAAUAUGUCAUGUAGCGGUGAAAUGCUUAGAUAUGACAUAGAACACCAAUUGCGAAGGCAGCUCACUACACAGUUAUUGACGCUGAGGCACGAAAGCGUGGGGAUCAAACAGG